RNAcentral lists this ribosomal RNA (253 nucleotides) under uncultured bacterium. Its description in RNAcentral is "partial 16S ribosomal RNA". It matches the Rfam family "Bacterial small subunit ribosomal RNA", at positions 524 to 776 of the family's 1533-position model. The record is from RNAcentral.
UACGUAGAGGGCAAGCGUUGUCCGGAUUUAUUGGGCGUAAAGAGCGUGUAGGCGGCCAGGUAGGUCUGCUGUGAAAACUCGAGGCUCAACCUCGAGACGUCGGCGGAAACCAUCUGGCUAGAGUCCGGAAGAGGAGAGUGGAAUUCCUGGUGUAGCGGUGAAAUGCGCAGAUAUCAGGAAGAACACCCGUGGCGAAGGCGGCUCUCUGGGACGGUACUGACGCUGAGACGCGAAAGCGUGGGGAGCGAACAGG